AUUGAACGCUGGCGGCAGGCCUAACACAUGCAAGUCGAACGGUAACAGGAAGAAGCUUGCUUCUUUGCUGACGAGUGGCGGACGGGUGAGUAAUGUCUGGGAAACUGCCUGAUGGCGGGGGAUAACUACUGGAAACGGUAGCUAAUACAGCAUAAUGUCGCAAGACCAAAGAGGGGGACCUUCGGGCCCCUUGCCAUCGGAUGUGCCCAGAUGGGAUUAGCUAGUAGGUGGGGUAACGGCUCACCUAGGCGACGAUCCCUAGCUGGUCUGAGAGGAUGACCAGCCACACUGGAACUGAGACACGGUCCAGACUCCUACGGGAGGCAGCAGUGGGGAAUAUUGCACAAUGGGCGCAAGCCUGAUGCAGCUAUGCCGCGUGUAUGAAGAAGGCCUUCGGGUUGUAAAGUACUUUUAGCGGGGAGGAAGGGAGUAAAGUUAAUACCUUUGCUCAUUGACGUUACCCGAAGAAGAAGCACCGGCUAACUCCGUG
This 490-nucleotide ribosomal RNA is filed under the name uncultured bacterium. Its description in RNAcentral is "partial 16S ribosomal RNA". It matches the Rfam family "Bacterial small subunit ribosomal RNA", at positions 30 to 507 of the family's 1533-position model. The record is from RNAcentral.